GUGGGGAAUCUUCCGCAAUGGACGAAAGUCUGACGGAGCGACGCCGCGUGAGUGAAGAAGGCCUUCGGGUCGUAAAGCUCUGUCAUCAGGGACGAACGGCCGGUGGAGUGGAAAGCCACCGGAUUGACGGUACCUGAGAAGGAAGCCACGGCUAACUACGUGCCAGCAGCCGCGGUAAUACGUAGGUGGCAAGCGUUGUCCGGAAUUAUUGGGCGUAAAGCGCGCGCAGGUGGGAUCUUAAGUCCAUUUUGAAAGUUCGGAGCUCAACUCCGUGAUGGGAUGGAAACUGGGAUUCUUGAGUACCGGAGAGGAAAGCGGAAUUCCCCGUGUAGCGGUGAAAUGCGUAGAUAUGGGGAGGAACACCAGUGGCGAAGGCGGCUUUCUGGACGGUGUCUGACACUGAGGCGCGAAAGCCAGGGGAGCGAACGGGAUUAGAAACCCUUGUAGUCC
This 450-nucleotide ribosomal RNA is filed under the name uncultured bacterium. Its description in RNAcentral is "partial 16S ribosomal RNA". It matches the Rfam family "Bacterial small subunit ribosomal RNA", at positions 354 to 796 of the family's 1533-position model. The record is from RNAcentral.